RNAcentral lists this ribosomal RNA (676 nucleotides) under uncultured delta proteobacterium. RNAcentral's name for it is "bacterial SSU rRNA". It matches the Rfam family "Bacterial small subunit ribosomal RNA", at positions 8 to 663 of the family's 1533-position model. The record is from RNAcentral. Lineage: Bacteria; Deltaproteobacteria.
AGAGUUGUAUCCUGGCUCAGAACGAACGCCGGCGGCAUGCCUAACACAUGCAAGUCGAACGAGAAAGCAUCUUCGGGUGUGAGUAGAGUGGCGAACGGGUGCGUAACACGUAGGUGACCUGCCGUUUGGAAGGGGACAACCCGAAGAAAUUCGGGCUAAUACCGUAUAAGAUCUAUAAAUUUGAAAGUAAUAGAUGAAAGAGUGCCUCUGCAUAUGCACUCACCGAACGAUGGGCCUGCGGGACAUUAGCUUGAUGGUGGGGUAACGGCCUACCAUGGCGACGAUGUCUAGCUGGCCUGAGAGGAUGAUCAGCCACACUGGAACUGAGACACGGUCCAGACUCCUACGGGAGGCAGCAGUGGGGAAUAUUGCGCAAUGGGCGAAAGCCUGACGCAGCAAUGCCGCGUGAGUGAGGAAGGCCCUAGGGUCGUAAAGCUCUGUCAGAUAGGAAAAACGGCAUGUGGUCCAAUAGGCCAUAUGUUUGAUGGUACUAUCAAAGGAAGCACCGGCUAACUUCGUGCCAGCAGCCGCGGUAAUACGAAGGGUGCAAGCGUUGUUCGGAUUUAUUGGGCGUAAAGCGCGCGCAGGCGGAUAAUUAAGCCAGAUGUGAAAUCUCGGGGCUCAACCCCGAAACUGCGUCUGGAACUGAUUGUCUAGAAUCUCGAAGAGGGAAGGG